UAGAGAUGAGAGUAGCUGAAUCUGGUGUAGCAGUGAAAUGCGUGGAGAUCAAGAGGAACACUCGUGGCGAAAGCGAGCUACUGGACAAUAUCUGACGCUGAGGCUCGAAGGCCAGGGUAGCGAAAGGGAUUAGAUACCCCUGUAGUCCUGGCAGUAAACGGUGCACGCUUGGUGUGAGGGGAAUCGACCCCCCUUGUGCCGGAGCUAACGCGUUAAGCGUGCCGCCUGGGAAGUACGGUCGCAAGACUAAAACUCAAAGAAAUUGACGGGGACCCGCACAAGCGGUGGAGUAUGUGGCUUAAUUCGAUGCAACGCGAAGAACCUUACCAAGGCUUGACAUGCAUCUCUAAACACGUGAAAGCGUGUGACCCUUCGGGGAAUUUGCACAGGUGCUGCAUGGCCGUCGUCAGCUCGUGUCGUGAGAUGUUGGGUUAAGUCCCGCAACGAGCGCAACCCUUGUGACUAGUUGCCAGCACGUAAUGGUGGGAACUCUAGUCAGACUGCCCAGAUCAACUGGGAGGAAGGUGGGGACGACGUCAGGUCAGUAUGGCCCUUACGCCUUGGGCUGCACACGUACUACAAUGCCCAGCACAAUGAGAACCGAGACCGCGAGGUGGAGGAAAUCUGCAAAACUGGGCUCAGUUCGGAUUGGAGGCUGCAACUCGCCUCCAUGAAGUUGGAAUCGCUAGUAAUGCCGUAUCAUCUACGACGGCGUGAAUACGUUCCCGGGUCUUGUACACACCGCCCGUCACAUCAUG
Molecule: ribosomal RNA, 758 nt
Filed under: uncultured bacterium
Lineage: Bacteria
Description: bacterial SSU rRNA
Rfam family: Bacterial small subunit ribosomal RNA
Source: RNAcentral